RNAcentral lists this non-coding RNA (187 nucleotides) under Clostridium carboxidivorans. The record is from RNAcentral. RNAcentral also lists the same sequence under 1 other name. Lineage: Bacteria; Bacillati; Bacillota; Clostridia; Eubacteriales; Clostridiaceae.
UAUUAAUAUUUUAGUGCAGGCUUCCUAAAUGGAAAUUAAUAGGGAAAGUGGUGAAAAACCGCUGCAGCCCCCGCUUCUGUAAGGAUGAUGAAACUCACGAUAUACCACUGAAGGCAUGAGUCUUUGGGAAGGUGUGAGGAGUAAGAUGAUUCUAAGUCAGCAGACCUACCUGUUUCUAUGGAUAUAG